GAUGAACGCUGGCGGCGUGCCUAAUACAUGCAAGUCGAGCGCUGAAGCGAGGAGCUUACUCUUCUUGGAUGAGCUGCGAACGGGUGAGUAACGCGUAGGUAACCUGCCUUUUAGCGGGGGAUAACUACUGGAAACGAUAGCUAAUACCGCAUAAUAUUGGAUGACACAUGUCUUUUAUUUGAAAGGGGCAAUUGCUCCACUACAAGAUGGACCUCCGUUGUAUUAGCUAGUAGGUGAGGUAAUGGCUCACCUAGGCGACGAUACAUAGCCGACCUGAGAGGGGGGAUCGGCAAACUGGGACUUAAACACCGCCCAAGCUUCCAAGGGGAGCAACAAUAGGGGAACCUCCGGAAAUGGGCGAACGCUUGACGGGGCAACCCGGCUGGGGUGAGGAAGUUUUCCGGAUCGAAAACCCUGUUGAUAAGGGAAAACGAAUGGGGGAAGGAUAUGUGCACACUGUGACGGUAGCUUACCAGAAAGCGACGGCUAACUACGUG
RNAcentral lists this ribosomal RNA (497 nucleotides) under uncultured bacterium. RNAcentral's name for it is "partial 16S ribosomal RNA". It matches the Rfam family "Bacterial small subunit ribosomal RNA", at positions 28 to 507 of the family's 1533-position model. The record is from RNAcentral.